GGAGGAGUGGCUGAGCGGUUUAAAGCGCCGGUCUUGAAAACCGGAGUCUCCUUACGGGGACCGUGGGUUCAAAUCCUACCUCCUCCGCCA
This 90-nucleotide transfer RNA is filed under the name Candidatus Omnitrophota bacterium. Its description in RNAcentral is "Candidatus Omnitrophica bacterium tRNA-Ser". It matches the Rfam family "tRNA". From Rfam's summary of the family: Transfer RNA (tRNA) molecules are approximately 80 nucleotides in length. Their secondary structure includes four short double-helical elements and three loops (D, anti-codon, and T loops). The record is from RNAcentral. Lineage: Bacteria; Pseudomonadati; Candidatus Omnitrophota.